GAUGAACGCUCGCUACAGGCUUAACACAUGCAAGUCGGGGGGCAGCAUGACCUAGCAAUAGGUUGAUGGCGACCGGCGCACGGGUGAGUAACACGUAUCCAACCUGCCGAUUAUUCCGGGAUAGCCUUUCGAAAGAAAGAUUAAUACUGGAUAGCAUAACGAGAAGGCAUCUUCUUGUUAUUAAAGAAUUUCGAUAAUCGAUGGGGAUGCGUUCCAUUAGUUUGUUGGCGGGGUAACGGCCCACCAAGACAUCGAUGGAUAGGGGUUCUGAGAGGAAGGUCCCCCACAUUGGAACUGAGACACGGUCCAAACUCCUACGGGAGGCAGCAGUGAGGAAUAUUGGUCAAUGGACGAGAGUCUGAACCAGCCAAGUAGCGUGAAGGAUGACUGCCCUAUGGGUGGUAAACUUCUUUUAGAUGGGAAUAAAGUGGGCCACGUGUGGCUUUUUGUAUGUACCAUACGAAUAAGGAUCGGCUAACUCCGUG
RNAcentral lists this ribosomal RNA (485 nucleotides) under uncultured bacterium. Its description in RNAcentral is "partial 16S ribosomal RNA". It matches the Rfam family "Bacterial small subunit ribosomal RNA", at positions 28 to 507 of the family's 1533-position model. The record is from RNAcentral.